This 1822-nucleotide long non-coding RNA is filed under the name Marmota monax (woodchuck). Lineage: Eukaryota; Metazoa; Chordata; Mammalia; Rodentia; Sciuridae. The record is from RNAcentral.
GAGCUUCCUGGGUCCUGGGGUGGCACCAGUCAUUCUGCCAGGCAGGCAGGCAGGCUGUACCAGGAAGGAGAGGCCUGUCCCCCUUCUGUCAGGGAAGCCCUGGGCGGCCAGCCCUAUAACAGCGGGGUAGGUCUGCACCCUCUGGGCCUGUUUCUCCUGCUGAGGAAUGAAGGUUGCUCAAAACCUCCCCUUCCCCAAACUGAGGGUGCGGGCAGGGUGAGGGCCAGCCAGGCAACAGGCUGCAGUGGCACAUCCAAAGCUGGCACAUGCACCCAGCAGGUCAGCUCACUGGGCCUUGGGGUGCUGCCUCGCAGGGUCCCUCCUCCAGGAGGAAGCUGAGGCCCAGGAGGUGACCCCCGGCUGGCAGGCUCACAUUGCCAGGCAGGCAAACACUGCUUUCCCUGCAUAGAGACAGGAGGGACAGGGACAAUCAAUGCUCUGCUGAGCCCCCAGGGCAGUGGGGCUGCGACAGGAGCCAGCCCUCCCGCGGGUGAGUGACCAGGCCUCCGGUGUCCAGGCACACGGGGAUGGCGGGCUCUGUGGGCAGCUCAGGGCCCGAGAUCCUGCCCCCUCCCCCCAGAAGCCCGGGCUGCGUUUGCGGGUGGUUUGCAGGAGCUGAGGCCCCGAGGCCACUGGCGUUUGCAGGGUGGAAGCCUUUUCUACCAUCAGUGAGCCCAGAGAGGUCAGGUGUCUGCCCUGAGUCACUCGGCCUGGCAGGGGAGCCCACUGUCUGGGCAGCAGAGGGAAACACGCCUGAGGGCUGGGAUGUCCCUACAGGCAGAGCCUGGCACCACCACCACAGCGCUGGCACCUGCCCUGAGGCCAGGCAGCAAGGGAGCACCAGACAGACGGACGGAUGGACAGACAGACACAUGAGGAGAGUGACUACAUUGAGUCACUUAGCAGACUCUGGCCUCUCUGAUCAAGCAAAGGGGUCCCCUGCAGGGACAGAGGGAGACGUGACCAGCAGACGCUAUCCUGACUGCUAGGCCAUGAUGCUGCCCUCGCCCUGCUCAGCUGAGGAGGUGGUAUGGCCUGGGCAGCAUAGUCACCAGCCCCCCAGCCAGCUCUGCCCAGUGCCCAAGCUCCUGCAGAAGCCAGAGGAUACUCCUGUGGUGGGGACACUGGGCCUGAGACCCUCCAGGGCAGCUGCCAGAGCAGGGCCAGGCCCACCUCCUGUGGAUACGUGCUGCCCCCAGCCCUCUCUCCCCUCCUUCCCAUCCACCUGCCACUGUUCCCAGGGUGCCCCUCGUCCUGCCCCACCCCAGGUCUGUGCUGGACCCAGGUGACCAUAGGGACAGAAACAACCAGAAUCCAGAGUCCUGAUUCUUCAAACCAGAAUCUGAAACCCCUCUUCCUUCGCUUCACUGUGACAGCCUAGAACUUUCCAUGCACUCCUUCUCUGCUGUUCCUUACCUGCAUCCCCAAGGUAAGGACACCUCUGUCAAGGGCUUGCCAAGAGCACUCCGAAAGGACCAGAAGCAGCCACAGGUGCCCGCAGCCCUGGAGACAGCCUGCAGGUCCCCAGCUCAGAUGUCUGACCAAGGGUGCACCAGGCCCUUGCCUCUCCAUGUCGCUCCUGGCAGCUGUAGGGGGCACAUCCCAGGAAGACCCCUGUGGCUGUGGGGUGGAACCCAAAUCCCAAGACCCGCCCUUAGUUUGACAUUUAGCAGGUGAGUCACCUCUCUGGGCUCCGGUCUCCUCAUCAGGGCAAUGGCCACAAUAAUGCUAAUUUCUCAAGUUGCUGUCGUAAAAGUCUAGGAAGGAGGAGAAAUCUCAACUCACCACAUGAGGCAGGCAUUUACUGAGCACCUACUAUGGG